This 253-nucleotide ribosomal RNA is filed under the name uncultured bacterium. Its description in RNAcentral is "partial 16S ribosomal RNA". It matches the Rfam family "Bacterial small subunit ribosomal RNA", at positions 524 to 776 of the family's 1533-position model. The record is from RNAcentral.
UACGUAGGGUGCGAGCGUUGUCCGGAAUUAUUGGGCGUAAAGAGCUCGUAGGCGGCUUGGCAAGUCAGAUGUGAAAGCCCUCGGCUUAACCGAGGAAGUGCGUCUGAAACUGCUGAGCUUGAGUCUCGGAGAGGAUGGCGGAAUUCCGCAAGUAGAGGUGAAAUUCGUAGAUAUGCGGAGGAACACCGGUGGCGAAGGCGGCCAUCUGGACCAGCACUGACACUGAGGCACGAAAGCGUGGGGAGCAAACAGG